CCUGUAGCACAAAGGAUAGCGCGUUGGGCUUCUAAUCCAAAGGUCGUGGUUUCGAAACCAACCUGAAGGG
RNAcentral lists this transfer RNA (70 nucleotides) under Trichonephila clavata. RNAcentral describes it as "tRNA-Arg". It matches the Rfam family "tRNA". From Rfam's summary of the family: Transfer RNA (tRNA) molecules are approximately 80 nucleotides in length. Their secondary structure includes four short double-helical elements and three loops (D, anti-codon, and T loops). The record is from RNAcentral. Lineage: Eukaryota; Metazoa; Arthropoda; Arachnida; Araneae; Nephilidae.